AAGAAGAAGAUGACGAGGAAGAAGAAAGCGUCGGCUGCGUCGCAGAGCGGCUGCCAGCGACGCCGCGCUCUUUAUACUACUGCUUUGCCUUCACUCCGCCUCCUAUGGCCUCCCUCUCUCCUCCAGCGGAUGCAUGAAGUUGACGUGUUUAACACAAGUUUCGACACUAAUCAAUCCCUGCAACCUCCCGUUUCAUCUGUUCCAUCUUCCCUUUAUCUCUUCUUUAUAUCCUCUCUCUUUUUUUUUGAUAUUUUUUUAGAACUGCUCUUUGCUGUCCGGGUUAAUCACACACUAUUUGUUUACCAGUAAGAGCAAGGCUAAUAAUAUAACCAACAAGCUGGCUAUAUA
RNAcentral lists this long non-coding RNA (348 nucleotides) under Oryza brachyantha (malo sina). RNAcentral describes it as "long non-coding RNA (OBRA_LNC000742)". The record is from RNAcentral. Lineage: Eukaryota; Viridiplantae; Streptophyta; Magnoliopsida; Poales; Poaceae.